Molecule: long non-coding RNA, 673 nt
Organism: Oncorhynchus keta (chum salmon)
Lineage: Eukaryota; Metazoa; Chordata; Actinopteri; Salmoniformes; Salmonidae
Exons: 4
Source: RefSeq, a predicted model, not a curated record
GACACCAGCUGUUUAAAACUAACUUCCUUUAUGUCAGGAUAAAUGAUGUGUUUUGGGUAUUAUGACUUUCGCCGUGUUAUCACACUUGUAUGUGCGUAAUAAUCUUUGGAGCGGUUAAGGCAGACAUUUUACACUGGUGUGGGUUAGUAACCUGGUAGCCUUACUUGUCUGAAGAGGAUUCUUUCAAGGGGACACGGACGAAACCUAAUAAGCGGUCCCAACAGUGAGCAGCGAGCACCGCGUCAUGUGAUGUGAAGUGUGUCUGUCGACCCUAAAGCCUUGACCUCUCACCCCUGACCCCGUGAGGUCACAGAUGGUCCAUAUCUGGCCCGACCCAGGAGACUUCCUCCUCCAUCCUGAUCCUCAACAUCAGUCAGUGAGCAGUGUGUUGUGUUCCGGCUGAACGCUCCAACGGCAUCCUGACCACCACCUAACACCACCCACCACCUUGGGCAUGCCUCAGCCGGGCAUGAAUGGGAUGGAGCCUGCGUUUGGCGAGGCGUAUGGGAGCCGUGGCUGUCUCCUCAGCCCCUACCCCCUGGCUGUCUCCCCUCUAGGGGGCAGGACCGAAUAUGACCAGAGCGUGCUCCUGAUGCUGGGCUCUCCAGCGACGCCGCGGAAACGGCCCUUCGAGUUGCUAAGCGACCUGGUGGACGACGGGGGCUUCGGCGAG